This 402-nucleotide ribosomal RNA is filed under the name bacterium. RNAcentral describes it as "partial 16S ribosomal RNA". It matches the Rfam family "Bacterial small subunit ribosomal RNA", at positions 355 to 776 of the family's 1533-position model. The record is from RNAcentral.
UGGGGAAUUUUGCACAAUGGGGGAAACCCUGAUGCAGCGACGCCGCGUGAUUUAGAAGGCCUUCGGGUUGUAAAAAUCUUUUUUACGGGAUGAAAAUGACAGUACCGUAAGAAUAAGGUCCGGCUAAAUACGUGCCAGCAGCCGCGGUAAUACGUAUGGACCGAGCGUUGUCCGGAAUCAUUGGGCGUAAAGGGUACGUAGGCGGCCUAGUAAGUUAGAAGUGAAAUAAUAUAGCUCAACUAUAUAAAGCUUUUAAAACUGCUAGGCUUGAGAGAUGGAAGGGAAAGUGGAAUUCCUAGUGUAGCGGUGAAAUGCGCAGAUAUUAGGAAGAAUACCGGUGGCGAAGUCGACUUUCUGGUCAUCAUCUGACGCUGAGGUACGAAAGCGUGGGUAGCAAACAGG